AGCAGCCGCGGUAAUUCCAGCUCCAAUAGCGUAUAUUAAAGUUGUUGCAGUUAAAGCUCGUAGUUGAAUUUCGGGAUCAAUGUUUCGGUCAUGCCGUUGGUAUGUACCGAUAUUAUUGGUUUCUCACCUUCUAAAGAACCGUAAUGCCAUUAAUUUGGUGUCACGGGGAAUUAGGACUGUUACCUUGAAAAAUUAGAGUGUUUAAAGCAGGCUCACGCUUGAAUACAUUAGCAUGGAAUAAUGAAAUAGGACAUCCGAUUCUAUUUUGUUGGUUUCUAGGAUCGAUGUAAUGAUUAAUAGGGAUAGUUGGGGGCAUUAGUAUUCAAUUGUCAGAGGUGAAAUUCUUGGAUUUAUUGAAGACUAACUACUGCGAAAGCAUUUGCCAAGGAUGUUUUCAUUAAUCAAGAACGAAAGUUAGGGGAUCGAAGACGAUCAGAUACCGUCGUAGUCUUAACCAUAAACUAUGCCGACUAGGGAUCGGAUGAUGUUAAUUUUUAAUGACUCAUUCGGCACCUUACGG
This 520-nucleotide ribosomal RNA is filed under the name uncultured Glomus. RNAcentral describes it as "SSU rRNA". It matches the Rfam family "Eukaryotic small subunit ribosomal RNA", at positions 569 to 1093 of the family's 1831-position model. The record is from RNAcentral. Lineage: Eukaryota; Fungi; Glomeromycota; Glomeromycetes; Glomerales; Glomeraceae.